ACAAUUAGUACACAGAAGAGGAAGCUGGACCUGAACGAAUGUAGAGUAAGACUUCAUGAGGAUAUCUGAGAACUGAUCAGGUUGAAGUGAAAUGACUGUUGGAUAGAAAGUUGCUCAUUUCCAGGUGAGGAGGCAUCUUUGGCACCUCCUAAAGAACUUGAAGCAAAAAUGGCGUGAACCAUUCCUCGUGCAACUUCAUAUUGGUUUAUUCCGAUCCAACCACAAGUUAUACGAGUUACAAUGACAACAAUAACACACCCAGUGUAACUUCAUAAGUGGGGUCUGAAGAGGGUGUUGUGUACGCAACUUACUCUUGUGAAGGUAGAAAGAUUGCUUCCAGUAGAUCUUCAGCCCUAGCAAUGAAUAUCAAAAAUCAAGUAUGUAAGGUAAAUAUAGUAGUAAAGAAGUCAUAUUGGAAAACAAUGGAGAAGAAAACAAUAGCAAUAACAAAUAAUAUGACAAUCGAGUUGAGACCCCAAUUCGCACCAAUAACAGAGUUGAGAACCCA
This is a long non-coding RNA of Solanum tuberosum (potato), 508 nucleotides long. RefSeq lists it as uncharacterized. Lineage: Eukaryota; Viridiplantae; Streptophyta; Magnoliopsida; Solanales; Solanaceae. The record is from RefSeq and is a predicted model, not a curated record. The transcript has 3 exons.